Long non-coding RNA from Cyprinodon tularosa, 422 nucleotides. RefSeq lists it as uncharacterized. NCBI's taxonomy places the organism in Eukaryota, Metazoa, Chordata, Actinopteri, Cyprinodontiformes, Cyprinodontidae. The transcript has 4 exons. The record is from RefSeq and is a predicted model, not a curated record.
CAGCAGUCAAUCCCUUCCUUGUAGCCGCAUCGGGUCUUGUAGGUUCCCGACUUUAACAUUUCGAAACCAAUCGGUGCCACGACAUCCUUUUGAAGACUUACUUUUAAAUUACAUUUAUUUCUUUUUUUUUUUGGGUUGAACUUCCCAACUCUAACGCUGACGUCCCUUCUGUAAAGAUCGUGUUUCCUGCCCCACACUUUGUUUAAUUCUUUACUAAAAUUCUUUGCCAAGCCGCCAAAGUGGAGAGUGUCGUUGCACCAGGGGGACCUUCUCGUUUCAGUGUGGGGGGAGGAGGUGGGGGUGCACCUCAGCACUAUCCCAAGACUGUCUGCAACAGCGAGUUCCUGGGGAAAACCCCAGGUCCUGGCGUUCAGAGAUGGAUUCCUUCACGAAGCACUAGACGAGAUGCCAAUUCCUCCAGU